CUUGACGAUGAGAAAAGUCUUGCCAAGAAAAGGCAGAGCAUCUUUGGAUACAAGGGUGGAGAAAGCGGGAUCCCAUGGCCCCUGUCAGAUUGUAUGAUAACAGAUCUGUUAAGCUGAUCUCCGCCUCCAACUGUGCAGUUGAACCUCAAGGCAAAGCUUGAUGCUGAAGCAAAUCAGACCAGGCCACGAAUUGUGAAGGAGUACGAGACAUUCAUGGGGGGGACAGACCUCCUAGAACAUAAACCUUAAAAAUUGUAUUUAAAUUGAAAUCUAUGUUGCUCUGAGAUCUCAUGGUGGACAGCAGCUUAUUAUAUCAGUUUUUGAAUGGGGGGGCGCCCCCCUUGAAAGGUUGCAAACCUCAAAUGAUCAAGUUCUUUAUAAAUUAAAUAUUCAUUGGACUAAUUACAACAAUCACACACAUAGGUGCACACACACACUCCAUCAGCUGCUCAUCAUUUUUACAGGUGUGGUUCCCCACUCCGCCCCGGCUCAAAACAACCAAUCGACAACAAAAACUGAGUGCUACUGUGUUCGGUUCCCUUUCGUCAUACUACACCAUCCAUCAGGGAGCUGUCAGAUAUGACCUUCAACUUGAAAAAGAGAGGCAGAGAGAGAGACGGACGGACGGAGGAAUAAAUCAAGCAACAAAGAGAAAAAGAGGGAGAUGUGUGGAGAGGAGAAAAGAUGGAGAUGGAUAAAGUAGAUUGAUCUACAGUGGAAACGGAACGACACAGCGAGACGUGAUGAGCAUUACAUCGGUGUCCUGCUGAGAUUAGCAUGCUGACACCCAUAUUGAAUUUACACUGGAGUUGUGCCUGUCAUGUGUCCGCACACUUUUGGCCCUCAUGGGGCAUCACGCAGGCUCACAUUCAAUUUAAACUUGACACGAUUUACCAUUUUUCUCAUUAAUACCUCUGCUGUCAGAUUGGACGUGAAGGCUCACUCCGGUGGCCAGCGGAAGAGAAGAAAUGACCCUCUGGUUGCACGUUAUCUGCUCUGAGCUGUUUUAUUGCAUUCAGACUGGAUCUUUACUGCGCGAGGGAAAGGGAUUCCUUAUUUGACAAAGAAAAAAAAGACAAGAAAGCUUUAUUUAUGAAACCGUUAAUUGUUGCUGAAGUUUGGAGCACUCCUCAAACAUGUCUGGGAGAGUUCUCUUCCAAUCAGCUGUUUAAGCUUCCUGACCGAACUGAGAUCAGAUUAACAUCCUUAGCAGCUGUAACUGCCAGCAUGGACACCUCCAUGUUCCAAUCUGAGCAAAACACCAUUUUGUUUGGGGUUAUUAACUAAAUAACUAGAAUUUAUGUAAAUAUCAUAACUUUUAUUACUUUUUUUAUGAAGAAAAAAAAACAAUCACAAUAGCUUUUGGGUCCUCGGUCUCUAUCAUUUUACAGCACUGUUAAUUGUUCCAUUAGUCCGACAAAGCAAAAGAACUGCACUCCCUUAUUUUGGGCACAAAUGUAGGUCACAUGCCUGUGCUCUCUUUAGAAAAGCCUUUAUCACUAAACAAUUUACUAAAAUAAACUAUAGAAAGGACAUGAGGAGGAGGAGUGAAAAUUAGGAGGGCCAUAAAUAAAUGAACACUUUAUAACAGUAUUUGUGUCAUGUGUGGGAGUAAGUGAAUAUUACUGCACCAGGUAAAAGCCACCAACUACUGACAACCAUUUAGAUCACCGAGAGAAUGAAUAGCCACACACCGGUUUAGUUUAGUUUUCAGCUACUAUUAUAGUCAUUACUUUAUCAUCUUCAUCAGUAUAAGUCAACACCUUUUAGUGUUAUAAAGAUGUUGUAAAAUGGGGAAGGGGAUUAAGGUAAACACAUUUUCCAUCGUUCUCUUUGCUUUUGGGAAAACUCUAAAUGAAAGUAGCAGUUCUACUGUUCGUAGUUUGUAAUUUCACCCCAACUGAGUAAAAAAUAAAACACAUGCCAACAAAGUGUGCAGCACUGCAAAGGAAUUUACAUUUUGCUGAUAAGAAGGACCACCUGGGGACCAAAGAAAGAAGUUCAGUCAACCACUGUAGCAUUUCAUGUGAAGGGAAUGUUUUCAGUAGAAAGCUGCAGAGCUACAACACAUCUCCCCACAGCCAAUCUGAGAAUCUCUGAAAAUAAAAAAGAAUGCAGGCGAGGCCAGUGAGCUGGUUUUGAUGGACAGAUGGAUGAAGAAACAGAUGGUCAAUGGAUGGCGGGAUUGAGUGUGUAGCUCCAGGCAGAGGGAGUUUAAGCCACGGAUUAAUUAUUUUACCAGACAAGAUGCGAGUUUCCACGGGAAUGUAAAUCACACAUUAUGAUCUGGAUAUUUGUUACGGCCUCUUACCUGCUCAUCUGUCGCUCGAGCGGGGGCGUUGUUACAUAACAAGCAUUUAUGUGUAACAAGUACCGCUUCUGGAAUUUAUCUGAAGGUCUACUCCACCAAACAAAACAUCUAACAACUGCAUUGCACAUCAAACUGUUCAAAAAACACGUAUUUCUGCAUGCUGGCUUGAAAAGAUUGCAUAAAUUUGUUGAAAAUAAGCCAAACUGGCAACGGCUGUAUUUCAAAAUGGGGACGGAAAACCCCCAAACCGAAGGCUUCAAAAUGGCACUAAUCAAACAAAUGGGGAAUGUCCUGAUGACUUCUUAGUGUACACUGUAUGGAGUAGUCAGAUGUUUGUUUCCUUUCAGCAGGUUCCAAAACUGAUUCAGAGGUAGAACUGACUUCAAGGAUGCAAAGUCUUUUCCAUUAAUCACAUUUUCAGCUUCUACUCAGUUAGAUGCAUAUGACUCGCGCUUGAGGGCAGUUGAGUCUUUCCCAUGUUUGUCUGAAAUGGGAAAGGCAGCCAACAAAAUGUGCCACAGGUAGAGGAGGGUGGAAAACACAUCAGAGCGGGAUGCUGAGAAAAAGUGUGAAGGUGAGAUGCAGUCUCUCUGCUAAUGGGAAGUGAAGGACUCGGUAAUGCUGUUCAUAGGAUGAUCGUCGCCACAAAACAACGCGUCACUCCAGUCGCAUUAACACAUUUCCUCCUUUUAUCACAAUCAAGCACCAGGUGGAUUCUCUCCUGGCUUCAUUCUCUGUCCGUGCCAACCUGUCUGCCAGUUUGCUUGUAUAAGCAAGCCUGUCUCUUGUUUACUGUGUGAGUAGGCCUUUGCCAGAGCAGGCCGGAAAGAAUCAACAAAGACUGCCAAAAGCACAGACGCCCCUCCUUUUCCCCAAAUCCUGCUCCCUCUUAAGAUCACAAAUGUAUUUCAGCCUCAUAAAUUAAAAGUAGUAGAAACUUUGUAAUUUUAGGGCUCAACAGAAAGAGCAACCAUCGGUAACCAUUUUGAGAAAUUUUGGCAACCACUUUAUUGUCCCGUUUAAUGUCCACUUAUUUAGUGGUAUAUUAUAUGUCUAAAUAUUUAGACAGUAAACAAAACACAAGUUUAGUUCAAUAUUUGUUGCACUACAAUUUUGCUAUAUACAAUAAAAUGUAUUUCUUUCAUUUAUAUUUUUAUAAAGUUGAUGUGACUGUGGCAUUUCCCAAUUAUUUAAAAUAUAUGGUGAUUAAAUGAAGAUCAUAAUCCCAGUUUAUGUAACAAACAGCUAAUGCAUGGCAACCACACCACCAUAAAGUUACUGUUGAGGCCUGCAUUGUUGAUAUUUCUAUUAAUAUUAUUAUAUUUCAAUAUAAUAAAACCAGUAGCAAAUUAUAGAUGCAACAAAAAACUGCACGGUUAAUUAUUGAAAGAAUUACGUAUAAAUCAAAAUAUGUAACAACAAAGCAGAAGAAGCACUAAACUGCAAAAGCUUUUAUUCUUGUGGGGUUCCAAAAGAUCUUUGCAAUCAAAUUGUGAUUUUAAAAAUCAAUUAUAGAUCAUAUGGAUAUGGUUAUAUCCGUGGACUGAAACUACAUUAACAAGAGUUACAUAUUUAAUGGAAUGUACUAUCGGUAUUCUCUUCUCAAGGUCAGAGGUCGGGGUCAGCGGACUAACAGUAACGGGUGAAAGUGGAAGUAAUUCAGAUGUCUGGCUCAAGAACACUUCAGCAGGCCAGGUUGCUGACGACAUGUUGAGAGUUGGACCUGCAGAACACAACCUUCUAGCUCAUUUCAUCUCAUUAUAUAGGGAAGCUCAAACACGGACCAAUGGAACUGAGAUUUUCUGCUGUGUUUACAUCCGUCGAGCGUAAAUGUACCUCAACACGCAGUGAAGCCACUUUCUAUUACAAUGUGCCUGGGAACCCGAAGACGUCUAAGGAGCUGUCCCAGGCCUGUAGACCAGUCCACUUUUCAACUGUAAGUGCUCUCCAUGGUUCUGAAACCACCCAGAGCUCACUGUGGUUCAACGACAUUGCUAGAGAUCUCAAACCACAUCCAUUCACUCCAUCCCAUCAGAAACAUUGGCUAACCUCGUUACCGGCACGCUUUACAUUGUUAGACUGCUCUUUGGACUCUAGGCUGUCUUUAAGUAGCUUCCCAUGGUCCUGAAUGAUGGUCAACUUGUUUGAAUCUAUUCACAAUCCACAAGCAGCUUGUCCAAAUACUUGUAUUUACCAACUACCCCUCUUCUCCCACAUCAUCUCCUCUGCCUUUCUCUUUUAUUUUUAGGCAUCCUCUGUUGGGAGAUAGGGGAUGGUCCCCCCCACCCUCUCCUCUCUGGUGUUCUCAUCUCCAAGCCUCCUGCAUAAUAGAUGUGGCUGUAACGCCAGUCAACUGGAGCGGCAUGAUGAGGCAGCUUUAGAAACAGAGAGAGAGAGAGAGAGAUCCCUCUGGAAUGGGUUAUAUUACUGCGCUUCAACCAAAGCGCGUGAACGGACGCCCCCGUAGAUGCGCGCGCAUUGGCCUGAUGCGCGCACGCACACAUUCCCAUAGAGGAACAGCGGGGGCUGUCAGCAAAGCCAAGAAAAAAAAGCAUCGCAGUACAGAAGUAAGAUGAAAAAUAACAACGAAGUCUUCCACUGUCUGAAGCAGCAGAGAGGAACACCGCAUGCGAGGGGCUGUGCGCUACGUGUUUUUGGAAAGCUUUAAAUAAAUCACCCGCCUGAGAGGAUGGAAGAGUCCACCAACAGUGCCAGCGCACUGGCACAAACAGAAAAAAACAGAAGAGCAGUCAGAGAGGGAGCGGGAUUAAGUCCGAGCACUAAUCAGAUUACAGAGAUGAUUCAUUUCCUGGACACUAAGAAUAAAACUCCUGUUGGCACUGCAGCGAGCCUGGCAUCCCUUUGGCAAAGAGGAAAAAAGCAACUGCAUAGCAGAGCUCGGUCGCCAUCUCACACACCCUGCGUUCAAUGAGCCUUACCUUCAUCGAUCUCUCCACCUUCUCUCCUCUCAGUUUGCGUCUUUUUCACCAGAAUCCCUUUAUCUUCCUCUUCCUCCUCUCCGUCAGCUAGCAGAUGAGUUUUAAAUCACAACGAGAAGCCCCUUGACAGGCGUUAAAAAGAAAAGAAAAAAGGUGAUCAGGUUCGGCUGCUUAUCCCAACUCCUGCGCUCCUCUACCGCGCGACUCCUUUCCCGUGCACAUACGAGCAGAAGGAAGCUCUAUUGGUAGUUUUGCUGGGAGCUGAAUAGACGGGACUGUGUUUGCGUGUGCGUGCGUGUGUUUGUGUGUGUUGGGACUGGGUGGCAGCAGGAGAGGCGGAAUUACCGGCACAGACGUGCGCGCAUUCGGGCAGCAGAGAGAGGAAAAGAGGGCGAACCGGCCAUCCAGGUGCCGGUGGUCCUCACUGUGCAGACCCACGACAAGCGUUCAAGUGCACAUCCACAAACGAUGGGGGCGGGUGGAGGAUGCGCAUCUCAAUUCCCAUUUAAAAACACACAUUAACGUUAAUAUAUAUCGCGCGUGAUCGCUCUAAACCCCAAAUAAGAAACUACACCCACCGAUGCGCAGGGUGUCCUUGAGUGCAAAUUACGUUUCAAAUAUCCGAGCAUCAGUCUGCGGAAUUUGAACGGGGGGGGGGGUCCUCCAGAAUGUGCAGCUAUCCGUCCAGAUUGGGCCAAAUAAAACUAUUUCGAUUCCCCUACACCCCGUCCAAAAAAAAAAGAUAUUCCCGUAAUGCGCGCGGCUUCCCCCCGUCAGCGCGCGGGGGGUCUGGCACCUGUCCGAAACCUAGAAAGAAUAUGCAAUCCGGGUCCGGCAGACUCGAAGCGGGUCAGGGCGGUGUCUAGCUCCGUCCUCCGUCAGCAAUUAUAACUCGCAAGACUGACAAACAACUCUGAUAAUAAUCCACCGAGGAGUCCUGGAAAUGAUUAUUUAGGAUGGUAAAAUAAUUGCAUGGCGUGGCGUGGCCAAUAACGAUGGCGUGGCAACGACUGAAGCUCUACUUACAACUCCCCGUGAGAGCGUGCACGCUUGUGCAUACCGAAACUCGCCGGUUUUUGGAGAGAAAAAGAGAAGAAUCGCCACCCGUUGGGAGGACGCAGUAAUCCGCACCGAGGCUCGGCCGCGUCACUCUGUCCGACAGCGGUCCUACUUUGUAGGGUGUUCCGCCCGCUACGUCCACGAUCCCGUCUUUCAGUGGCAGACGGUUCAGGUUUGACUUCGUGCAGGAGAGAUUUCAGCGGGUUUUCCUCGCUGAUUGGAGGCAGCUUGUAGGUGCACUUGGCUGCAUGACUGGUGGUGGAAGGGAGGGGGCUGUGCAGUGUGUACGGGAGGCUGCGCGAGGGUUUCCAACAGAAAAGACACACCCAUACGGCCUGUCAGCUUCCAUCUAUCCAUCUGUCUAACCAUCACAUCUCGUCAUCCAUCUGAAAAUCUAUUUUUCUCUCAUUAACCAUCAAUACAUUGUUGAUUAUGUUUUGCGUUUUAAAGAUUGACAGAUAUUGUAGAUACACAAAAAAAAACUUCUGUCAACUUAAAUUAUCUCGUCCCCCUAAUUAGGACAUUCUUGUGAGGCUGUCAGUGGCAUAUAUUAAUAAGGUCAGUUUGGCGUUAUGUACACAGAUUUCAAACAGAUUUGUUUCACAUUACAACACUACCUCAACAUACUAAGUGGCUGCACAAGAGCACGUUUUCCAUGGGCUCAAACCACAAUGAACUAGCGCAGUUAAAAGACACACUGACAUUCUACUAAUGUGUCAGCUCCUCUUGUGAACUGGCAACGGACACUUCCACAUAUCUUCUGAAAGUAUUAUACUGCAGGAAAACUAAACUUGCCAUGGCAGUUACCCUGAUCUACUGGUAUUCACAAUGAAAUUGAAGGACAGAUUUUGAGGUGCUGAGGAGAUUUUUUCUGAACUGGAAUUUAGAAUUCCACGCAUUUUCACUUUACAGGCAAAGAUGACUGCGUGCGAGCGUGUACAUUCCCUUAACUUAUAGCGGAAUACUAAAAAUGAACUUGAAUAGUUAAAACACUGAAUGUAUGUCCCUAUUUUGAACUGACAUUGCCACAAGUUCUAUGAAUCUCUUUUUAAGAUGCAACGGUGACUUAAAUGCAUAUUGCAGAAACUGCAUGUCGCGGUAACAAAGCUAACGUUGGUAGCUCUUUUGACAUAGGACUGUACAGAGAACAUUGGCUGUCUAGUAAAAAUAACACUUACCUGAUUAGGGGAAACUUCAGGUUGACAAGUAGUUUGAGAAUCUCUUCGGCUCAGUUAAAUUUGCCUUCACACAAGAUGUCCGACCACCACGCCCGCUUUUAGUGCCGACUCCAACUCAGAAAUCACGUACAAGACACCAAGGCGCAUGCGCGCAGUCGUAAAAGGUUUUCGUAAAAUAAAAAAAAUGGGGCUCAACUCAUAAAUGCUUGUGAACUGAAAAUACUUUUUAGGGCAACGUCAGGUUUGUUUGGCCUGACACGUUUUUUGUUAGUUGUUUAUGGCAAAGCUUUGUUUUUGAGUCAGAUCAAUUAGAAAACCUUUAUCAGAUCAACAAUUGCUAGUUGUUGUUUUAUAAGUGUAGAUUGAUGCUUGAUGUGUGGACGGAGAGAGAUGAUAACUAUAACUUGUGAAAAACUUUCUGAAAAACAAAAGUUUACUCAUCCGUAGUUUGCAUAGUUUACUAUAUACAACACAAAUAUUACUGUAUUAACAGUGUUUCUCCUAGGAUUCCUCCUUCGGGGGGGUGCCAUUUUUUUGAAUCGCAGUGAAAGGACGACUCGGACCACCUUCAUUGGGGCCACACAGGAAUAGUAAACAUAACAAACAAAGAGGGCAAGGAAAGAAAGCGUUUUAGGGUAGCAUGAGGGUGAUGGGUUGGCUGCUGUCACCAGCCUGGCCAUGAAUUAGAAUUAGUUCAGUCGGGGGGGGGGGCAUUGUGCGUGGGCUGAAUGCUGGAUAUUGCGUCGCUAUGUGUUAAGUGGAAACGUGCUGCGCAUCUCUCAGUGUGACACCGAUACCGCCUCACAUGAGAGAGUGUGAGCAGAAACAUGACAAUGGAGGACAAGUGAUUAGCCGUGAUGGAUGAGUUGUGACUCUGUGAUAAAAGCCAUGGGUGUGCGGAAUAUUGAGAGCCUGGUAUGCACACACACUAUAAAACAAGUGAGAGAGAAUGUUCAGAACAUUACAAGCCUGCACACUGACAAUAUGGUAAAGUUUAAUAAAAACGUGUAGUUAUGAAUCUAAACUUGCCCUCCAACAAACUUAACAUUAGCGGUGAACAAAAAACAGUCUCUGACAACAGACUAGAAGAUAUGAACACUCACUCUUAUAGUUAUAGUAUAGUUCUGGCUCAUGUAUAACCGUCGCUGAGACGUGAAAACCAGCAGAGCAUUUCACAGAAGACUUGCCUAAAACAGGCUGCUCCCUGCGGGCCGAGAUGAGGCCGACCGCCCGCUGCUGGAGAGCUCUGGCGGUCCCGUUAACUACACCUCACAGUACUCGGGCUGCGACUGAUGACAUUUCACGAGUCCACGAGAACACAAGUCUAGACAAGAACGCAUGUUGAGUCUUAAAGAUUCUCCCUGUCUCAAACGCACACACACACACACACACACACACACACACACACACACACACACACAUACUUUGGAUUCCACCAGCUGGUAAUGGGAUAUAUGAAAAAGAUGGGUAGACCAAAUCUCUCUAAUGUUUCUCUAAAUAACACACGCACACACUCAGUGGAUAAUCUCUGACCCUACAUGGACACAUGUUCCAACAAAAUGCAUAGAUUAAACAUACGUAUGCGUUGGAUUGUAAACAUGAUGAAACAAUGUUAUUGUUGAGCCUCCCACCCUAAAUACCUCCAACAGACAGACACACUGUUUGAUCAGUUUUUUUGCGGUCUGCGGUCCUGGUGUCAUCAGAGAGCUCAUUCCACCAUUUAGGAACCAGGACAGCAAAGAGUUGUGAUCUUGUCAAGUGUUUUACUCUCAGUGAGGGAGGAACAAGCAGUUUGGCAGAUGUAGAGCAGAGUGUGCGGUUUGGAAUGUAGGGUCCGCACAAAACUUCACAAAACCACUGCAGCAGCUGAUUUCAUGGAAUGAAAAACCAAACAAGGAAAUUACCCACUGGAGUAAAUUAAAGUCUAUAAAAAAAAGCAUCUAUCUAAAAUGCAUUUCCUGCUGAAAAUGCGUUGGAAUGCAAAAUGCUGAAACCUGAAAUGAACUUGAUGAAGAAAGUUGAAGGGAAUUUUUAUACAUUUGCUGAAAAUACAGAUAUUAGAAAAGCUGAAAUUAAUUUGAAAUUGCUGAAAAUACAGAAAUGGGAGAAGCGGAAAGGAAUUUCCACAGAUUUGCUGAAACUAAAGAAAUGAAACAACUAUAGAAGAAAGAAUAUCAAAAAUUGAUGAAAGUACAGACAUCAGAAAAGCUGAAAUUCAAUAGAUUUGCUGAAAAUACACAGUUGAGAAAAGCUUAAAUAUAUUACAAGAAAUUGGUGGAAAUACAGAAAUGGAAGAAUCUGAAAUGGACUAAAAAAAUAUUGGAAUAAAAAAUACAAGAAAAAAAUUAAUUUAUAAAUUUAAAUAUUGCUGAAAAUUCAGAAAUGACAAAAGCUGAGUUGAGUCUUAAAAAAUAUAAUACUACUAUAUAAUAAUACUACUAAAGUAAUAUUAGUAGCAAUUGUAAUUUUGGCAGUAAUAAUAUAUUAUUAGAAUAAGUAGUAGUUUUAGUAUCAAUAGCAGUAGAAAAAUAGUGUUAGUAGUACUACUAGUUGUAUCAUUUGUAGUACUAAACUGUUAGUCAUUGUAGUAUUUGUAGUAAAAUGAGUAGUAGUUGUGGUAUUAAUAGCAGUAUAAAUACUGGUAGUAUGUUUUCUUAUAGUAGUAAGAGUAGUAAUAUCAGUUGCCGAGUCACUGCUACUGGUAGAAAUAGUAUUUUUAGUACAACUACUAUUAGUAUUAGUAGUAGUAAGAGUCAUUUAGUAUUAACACCAAGGGUAAGGAAGGGAGAGGGGGGAAAGAGGGAGAGAAAGAAAGCAGAGGAGGAAGAGAAAAGAGGAGGAGAACGAAAGAGGAAGAGGGAGGAAUGGAAAGAGGGUGAGGAAGGGUGGAAUGGUGAGAAAAGGAGAGGGAAGAAUGGAAGGAGAAGAGAAGAAAGAAAGAUGAGGAAGAAAGAGGGGAGGAGGAAGGAAGAGAAAGAGGGGGAGAAAGAAAGAGGCUGAGGAAGGGAGGGGGAAGAGAGGGAGGAAUGGAAGAGGGGGAGGAAGGGAGAGGGGGGAAAGAAAGAGGGGAGGAAUGGAAAAAGA
Long non-coding RNA from Gasterosteus aculeatus aculeatus (three-spined stickleback), 10571 nucleotides. The record is from Ensembl. NCBI's taxonomy places the organism in Eukaryota, Metazoa, Chordata, Actinopteri, Perciformes, Gasterosteidae.